GACACUCCUGCGGGAGGCAGCAGUGGGGAAUAUUGGACAAUGGGCGCAAGCCUGAUCCAGCCAUGCCGCGUGAGUGAUGAAGGCCCUAGGGUUGUAAAGCUCUUUCACCGGUGAAGAUAAUGACGGUAACCGGAGAAGAAGCCCCGGCUAACUUCGUGCCAGCAGCCGCGGUAAUACGAAGGGGGCUAGCGUUGUUCGGAUUUACUGGGCGUAAAGCGCACGUAGGCGGACUAUUAAGUCAGGGGUGAAAUCCCGGGGCUCAACCCCGGAACUGCCUUUGAUACUGGUAGUCUUGAGUUCGAGAGAGGUGAGUGGAAUUCCGAGUGUAGAGGUGAAAUUCGUAGAUAUUCGGAGGAACACCAGUGGCGAAGGCGGCUCACUGGCUCGAUACUGACGCUGAGGUGCGAAAGCGUGGGGAGCAAACAGGAUUAGAAACCCGGGUAGUCC
RNAcentral lists this ribosomal RNA (447 nucleotides) under uncultured organism. RNAcentral describes it as "partial 16S ribosomal RNA". It matches the Rfam family "Bacterial small subunit ribosomal RNA", at positions 332 to 796 of the family's 1533-position model. The record is from RNAcentral.